AUGGCGGACAGGAGGUCAAGCCCAAAUGUUGGUUUGGCUGUUAGAAAUAAAGUUCUUUCCCAGGCGCUAACAUUAAUCAAAAGCUCGUUGCUACAGGGUCAAGCCCUUUUGGCUUUGCAAAACUUCUUUGCUGCAUUAGUCUAUUCUGCAAAUACAAGUUUUGACACUUUACUGGACUGCCUUCUUGCAAGUGCAAAGCCAUCUCCCCAGUCUGGUGGUGUUGCAAAACAGGCCUUAUAUUCAAUAGCCCAAUGUGUGGCUGUUCUCUGCCUUGCUGCAGGUGACCAGAAAUGUUCAUCUACAGUGAAAAUGCUGACUGAGAUUCUUAAAGAUGACAGUAGUGCCAAUUCAGCUAAGCAGCACCUUGCCUUGCUAUGCCUUGGGGAGAUUGGGAGAAGGAAGGAUCUAAGUUUGCAUGUGCAUAUAGAAACUAUCAUUAUCGAGUCCUUUCAAUCUCCAUUUGAAGAGAUAAAGUCUGCUGCUUCUUAUGCUCUUGGCAAUAUUGCUGUUGGUAAUCUGUCCAAGUAUCUGCCUUUUAUCUUGGACCAGAUUGAUAAUCACCAGAAGAAACAGUAUCUCCUGCUUCAUUCUCUGAAAGAGGUUAUAGUAAGGCAAUCUGUAGAUAAAGCAGAGUUCCAGGAUUCCAGUGUUGAGAAGAUACUUAAAUUGCUAUUCAAUCACUGUGAGAGCGAGGAAGAGGGUGUAAGAAAUGUUGUAGCUGAGUGCCUGGGUAAAAUUGCACUUAUAGAACCUGCAAAACUUGUUCCUGCGCUUAAGGUGAGAACAACUAGUGCAGCUGCAUUCACCAGAGCAACAGUGGUCAUUGCUGUAAAAUAUUCGAUAGUUGAGAGGCCAGAGAAGAUCGAUGAAAUCAUAUACCCUGAGAUUUCAUCUUUUCUCAUGCUCAUCAAGGAUCAUGACCGGCAUGUUAGGCGUGCAGCUGUGUUAGCCUUAAGUACAUUUGCUCACAAUAAGCCUAA
Molecule: unclassified non-coding RNA, 980 nt
Filed under: Hevea brasiliensis (rubber tree)
Lineage: Eukaryota; Viridiplantae; Streptophyta; Magnoliopsida; Malpighiales; Euphorbiaceae
Source: RNAcentral